UGAUUGGGAUAUUUAGGGUAAUGAAUUUUAGACGUAAAUUCAGAAUCUUCAGCUGAGCUACAACCCCCCUCCACCUCUAUCUCCUCCUUCGCGCUUGCAGACUCCACCUGGCUUAUCUCCUCUGGGCUCCACCACCAGCGUCUGGAUCCCGGGGGAACACUUCACUAAUCCUAAAAUCAACAUCCAAGCUCAUAGACAUUCGCAACUUUCACGUCUUCUGCCGGGAUCCGAGCGCCAAAGAACUUUCUGAUUCAUGUCAAUAAAUCUUUCUAAUUGCCCCUUCUGUCUGUGUGAGUCUGUCUAGGUUGAAUUGCUACCGCAUCUCACCCAGGAUUCAAGUCAACUCUUUCUUAUUGCUGAAUUAUGAACACUGACCGUAACUGAGAGCUUGUCUUGGGAGCCUCUUGAGGAGCCAGGUCAGAGUUGAACGCAGAAUUUUAUGAUGUACAGAAAGGCACACAGCUGCCAUGUCGUGAAAAAGCUGGUAGCACCCCUGCAGAGGGCCUGAGGAGAAAAGGCGAAGUGUCCCAUGGUAACUGGAGGAGCUGCAGAAAUCUACAGCAAUGCACAGCAGAGUUGUCAAGAAGGAUGCUUUGGUCAGACGUGACCAGGUGAGCUGGCCAGAGUUGAUGGGGAGUCGGAUGGAGCUACAUACAAUCCUGGAAGAACACUGACGAGGCUGCACAAGACUGAGCUGGAGCUUCACCUAAUAGCAAGGCAACAGCCUUUGUCCAGCAAGAGCUGCAAUCAAAGGAUAUGGGCUGUCAAACUCCAGUUCUCAAGGGCCUAUAUCCUGAAACGUUAAGAUCUGUCCCUGGUGCAGCACACCUGGAUCAUAAUGCUGGCUUACCUCCUCACCAUGCAGUCUAUACAGAGACCUGCCAUUGACCCAUUUAUUUUAUUCUGGUGUCUUAAAGAGACACAUCUAAAGGUUGCAAGACAAUGGCCCUCAAGGAAUGAAGUUUGUCAUCUGAGAUUUAGACCAAAGCAUACUCAGGUCAAAAUGUACACCUAAAUCUAAUUGAGAAUCUGUCGCCAAACUUGAAAAUUGCUGUUCAUAGAUAUUCUCCAACCAGCCUGAUUAAGUUUGAGCUGGUCAUCCAGAGACGGAUUGGUGGAAACUUCCGUCUCUAAGCGUGCAAAGCUGUGAAAGCCAACUACCUAAAGGAUUUGCAACGGUGAGACUAUAAAUUUUUGACUGAUGGGUGCUAAAUAUAAACACACGCCACACUUUUUAGUUUCUUUUUGUGCAAAGAUCAA
Fundulus heteroclitus (mummichog) is the source of this 1260-nucleotide long non-coding RNA. RefSeq lists it as uncharacterized. NCBI's taxonomy places the organism in Eukaryota, Metazoa, Chordata, Actinopteri, Cyprinodontiformes, Fundulidae. The transcript has 4 exons. The record is from RefSeq and is a predicted model, not a curated record.